RNAcentral lists this long non-coding RNA (502 nucleotides) under Citrus sinensis (sweet orange). Its description in RNAcentral is "long non-coding RNA (CSIN_LNC003076)". The record is from RNAcentral. Lineage: Eukaryota; Viridiplantae; Streptophyta; Magnoliopsida; Sapindales; Rutaceae.
CAAAGUUGUCUAAGUGCCGCACGGGUUAGCUGCGCAAAACACUCAUCCCGUGACAAGUGGUAUCAGAGCUAAGGUUUGCACGCACGCAAAUUAGCUCACGAAGCAAUGGCCAACCCUUCGAACGUAGCACAAGAGGGUGUUGUUGGUGUGGAUGUUCCACCGGAACCAAGCCGUGGCCGAGAGGGAGAACGCGCCCAAGGCAAGACUCGCGGCAAGUCCAAGGCCCUAUCCGUGGAUGCGUUGGAGCCUCGUGUAGGCACUCUCGAAAUAGCAUUGUCCGCCGCUCAAGAUAGCCUCGUGGGAUUGGAGGAAAGAGUGGAUGGUCUCGAGGGAGAAUACGCCGAGUUCACGGUGGCCACAAAAGCUCUCAUCCAUGAGCAAGUGAACAUUCUCCGAGGUGAGUUUCGUUCUUUCCAUGAUGAGUUGCUCAAACUUCGUACUUUUGUUCAGGACGAACUACAUGCUGUCCGUGCGGAAGUGGAUGAAGUCCGCUCGGAUUGGG